UCCGUAGGUGGAUAAUUAAGUCAGAGGUGAAAUCCUGCAGCUCAACUGUAGAAUUGCCUUUGAUACUGGUUAUCUUGAGUUAUUAUGAAGUAGUUAGAAUAUGUAGUGUAGCGGUGAAAUGCAUAGAUAUUACAUAGAAUACCCAUUGCGAAGGCAGAUUACUAAUAAUCAACUGACACUGAUGGACGAAAGCGUGGGGAGCGAACAGGAUUAGAUACCCUGGUAGUCC
This 229-nucleotide ribosomal RNA is filed under the name uncultured bacterium. Its description in RNAcentral is "partial 16S ribosomal RNA". It matches the Rfam family "Bacterial small subunit ribosomal RNA", at positions 568 to 796 of the family's 1533-position model. The record is from RNAcentral.